RNAcentral lists this ribosomal RNA (253 nucleotides) under uncultured bacterium. RNAcentral describes it as "partial 16S ribosomal RNA". It matches the Rfam family "Bacterial small subunit ribosomal RNA", at positions 524 to 776 of the family's 1533-position model. The record is from RNAcentral.
UACGUAGGGACCGAGCGUUGUCCGGAAUCAUUGGGCGUAAAGAGCGUGUAGGCGGCCCCUUAAGUCCUGCGUGAAAUCCUGCGGCUCAACCGCAGACGGUCGUGGGAAACUGGAGGGCUAGAGUGCGGGAGAGGAGAGUGGAAUUCCCGGUGUAGCGGUGAAAUGCGCAGAUAUCGGGAAGAACGCCAGUGGCGAAGGCGGCUCUCUGGAACGCAACUGACGCUGAGACGCGAAAGCGUGGGGAGCAAACAGG